GACGAACGCUGCGUGCGUGCUUAACACAUGCAAGUCGAACGGAAAGGCCCUGCUUUUGUGGGGUGCUCGAGUGGCGAACGGGUGAGUAACACGUGAGUAACCUGCCCUUGACUUUGGGAUAACUUCAGGAAACUGGGGCUAAUACCGGAUAGGAGCUCCUGCUGCAUGGUGGGGGUUGGAAAGUUUCGGCGGUUGGGGAUGGACUCGCGGCUUAUCAGCUUGUUGGUGGGGUAGUGGCUUACCAAGGCUUUGACGGGUAGCCGGCCUGAGAGGGUGACCGGCCACAUUGGGACUGAGAUACGGCCCAGACUCCUACGGGAGGCAGCAGUGGGGAAUAUUGCACAAUGGGCGGAAGCCUGAUGCAGCAACGCCGCGUGCGGGAUGACGGCCUUCGGGUUGUAAACCGCUUUCGCCUGUGACGAAGCGUGAGUGACGGUAAUGGGUAAAGAAGCACCGGCUAACUACGUGCCAGCAGCCGCGGUGAUACGUAGGGUGCGAGCGUUGUCCGGAUUUAUUGGGCGUAAAGGGCUCGUAGGUGGUUGAUCGCGUCGGAAGUGUAAUCUUGGGGCUUAACCCUGAGCGUGCUUUCGAUACGGGUUGACUUGAGGAAGGUAGGGGAGAAUGGAAUUCCUGGUGGAGCGGUGGAAUGCGCAGAUAUCAGGAGGAACACCAGUGGCGAAGGCGGUUCUCUGGGCCUUUCCUGACGCUGAGGAGCGAAAGCGUGGGGAGCGAACAGGCUUAGAUACCCUGGUAGUCCACGCUGUAAACGGUGGGUACUAGGUGUGGGGUCCAUUCCACGGGUUCCGUGCCGUAGCUAACGCUUUAAGUACCCCGCCUGGGGAGUACGGCCGCAAGGCUAAAACUCAAAGGAAUUGACGGGGCCCCGCACAAGCGGCGGAGCAUGCGGAUUAAUUCGAUGCAACGCGUAGAACCUUACCUGGGUUUGACAUGGAUCGGGAGUGCUCAGAGAUGGGUGUGCCUCUUUUGGGGUCGGUUCACAGGUGGUGCAUGGCUGUCGUCAGCUCGUGUCGUGAGAUGUUGGGUUAAGUCCCGCAACGAGCGCAACCCUUGUUCACUGUUGCCAGCACGUUAUGGUGGGGACUCAGUGGAGACCGCCGGGGUCAACUCGGAGGAAGGUGGGGAUGACGUCAAGUCAUCAUGCCCCUUAUGUCCAGGGCUUCACGCAUGCCACAAUGGCUGGUACAGAGAGUGGCGAGCCUGUGAGGGUGAGCGAAUCUCGGAAAGCCGGUCUCAGUUCGGAUUGGGGUCUGCAACUCGACCUCAUGAAGUCGGAGUCGCUAGUAAUCGCAGAUCAGCAACGCUGCGGUGAAUACGUUCCCGGG
This 1343-nucleotide ribosomal RNA is filed under the name uncultured bacterium. RNAcentral's name for it is "16S ribosomal RNA". It matches the Rfam family "Bacterial small subunit ribosomal RNA", at positions 28 to 1378 of the family's 1533-position model. The record is from RNAcentral.